AUUGAACGCCGGCGGCAUGCCUUACACAUGCAAGUCGAACGGUAACAGGUCUUCGGAUGCUGACGAGUGGCGAACGGGUGAGUAAUACAUCGGAACGUGCCUAGUGGUGGGGGAUAACUACUCGAAAGAGUGGCUAAUACCCCAUGAGAUUUACGGAUGAAAGCAGGGGAUCGCAAGACCUUGUGCUAUUAGAGCGGCCGGUGGCAGAUUAGGUAGUUGGUGGGGUAAAGGCCUACCAAGCCGACGAUCUGUAGCUGGGCUGAGAGGAUGAUCAGCCACACUGGGACGGAGACACGGCCCAGACUCCUACGGGAGGCAGCAGUGGGGAAUUUUGGACAAUGGACGCAAGUCUGAUCCAGCCAUUCCGCGUGCAGGAUGAAGGCCCUCGGGUUGUAAACUGCUUUUGUACAGAACGAAAAGGCUCUGGUUAAUACCUGGGGCUCAUGACGGUACUGUAAGAAUAAGCACCGGCUAACUACGUGCCAGCAGCCGCGGUAA
Molecule: ribosomal RNA, 498 nt
Filed under: uncultured bacterium
Lineage: Bacteria
Description: partial 16S ribosomal RNA
Rfam family: Bacterial small subunit ribosomal RNA
Source: RNAcentral